Molecule: ribosomal RNA, 253 nt
Filed under: uncultured bacterium
Lineage: Bacteria
Description: partial 16S ribosomal RNA
Rfam family: Bacterial small subunit ribosomal RNA
Source: RNAcentral
UACGUAGGGUGCAAGCGUUGUCCGGAAUUAUUGGGCGUAAAGGGCUCGUAGGCGGUCCAUCGCGUCGGGAGUGAAAAGCUGGGGCUUAACCCCAGUCCUGCUUCCGAUACGGGUGGACUAGAGGUAGGUAGGGGAGAUCGGAAUUCCUGGUGUAGCGGUGAAAUGCGCAGAUAUCAGGAGGAACACCAGUGGCGAAGGCGGUCGUCUGGGCAGAUACUGACGCUGAGGUGCGAAAGCGUGGGGAGCAAACAGG